Molecule: ribosomal RNA, 253 nt
Filed under: uncultured bacterium
Lineage: Bacteria
Description: partial 16S ribosomal RNA
Rfam family: Bacterial small subunit ribosomal RNA
Source: RNAcentral
UACGGAGGGUGCAAGCGUUAAUCGGAAUUACUGGGCGUAAAGCGCACGCAGGUGGCUGAGUCAGUCGAUUGUGAAAGCCCUGGGCUUAACCUGGGAAUUGCAGUCGAUACUACUCAGCUAGAGUAUGGGAGAGGGCAGUGGAAUUCCCGGUGUAGCGGUGAAAUGCGUAGAGAUCCGGAGGAACACCAGUGGCGAAGGCGACACGCGGGGCCGUACCUGACACUGAUGCGCGACAGCAUGGGGAGCAAACAGG